Molecule: long non-coding RNA, 1365 nt
Filed under: Macaca fascicularis (crab-eating macaque)
Lineage: Eukaryota; Metazoa; Chordata; Mammalia; Primates; Cercopithecidae
Description: lncRNA (ENSMFAG00000055156.1)
Source: RNAcentral
AUGAUGUUGUAAAAAGUCAAUGAGUUUCAGAGUUUUUACCUGGACUUUAAAAUAAAUUUGAGUGAUUGAGGAAAACUGAGGAAGACUUACUUUUUCCAGACUAUUUUGUUUUACAUGAUGGUAGAUUUUUUAAUGCUGCAUGUAUGUAACAGAAUAUGACCCCUUUCAAUCCAAUGCAAAUAGUUUACAUAAUUGUGUUUGGAAGGGUCCUGAUUUUGCUAACAUGAACUCAGUAAUGUCACCGACAUUGCAACCCUGAAACCAUUCUUAUUCAUUCUUUCUUUCCUUUCGGCAAUUACUGUUCACAAGAAUUCUUUCGGUAUUUCUAUAAAUGUUGCAACUCCUUCCGCAUGGUUGACUGUGUUAGCUAGGCCACUAGUUUCAAAUGUUGCCAUGUCAAUCUAGAUUCCAACGGGUCAUUUUUCAAUAUAGUUUUUCAAUAUGUACUUUCUAAAAUGAAUCCUGAAAUAGGUUUUGAUUUUCAUAUGAAGUAGGAUUGAUUAGAUCUACGAUUGUAGUUUCUUAAGCUAUUGUCUGAUUCUUUUCAGAAAACAAAAGGAAAAAAUCUUAAUUAUAGCAAUUGAAAGUAGAUUAAAUUUAUUUUAAUAUAUUCUGAAAAAAACUAAUGUGACAUUAUUAUGAAAUUUUAAAAAAUCACCUUUCCUCUCUCUAAGAAUAUAUUAAUAGUUAUUCUUGAUUGAGACAGUUAGAAUAAAUAUUAUAGGCCAAGUUUUUUUCUGGCUCAUACUGUCUGUGGUGUAUAAUGCAUUUGAAACAGGCAGUCCCCUGUUUUAAUGAUUAGGUUUGUUUGUGAGUGCACAGCAUCCAUCUAUGACUGUGAUAUAUAUAACCUAUAUCCUGUAAGGUCAUAAACAGAAUGACCAUUGGCUGUUGAUGAAAAGUUAAGUUUGAAAUCUUUUAACUCCUUUUCACCAAAAACCAAUUUAUACACAAUAAAAAUCAUAUUGCUUGUUUUCAGAGAGCAAGAAUGUAGUCAGGAAAUUGCAAAGAAGAAUUCACUUCAAACACAUUGUAAAAUCAAUGUGUCUCUGUUUUCUUUUCUGUUCAUGCAGACAAAUGUAGACACAGGUAUCUUUCCUCCAUUUGCAAUGGAUUUAGAGUUAUGUCUAUAUAAUCAGUGGAAAAAAUUCUUGGCCGCAUAUCAACUUAGCCCAUUCAGAUGGCAGCAAAAGCAGUAUUUCAGGGUCGUUGGGGAGUCAUUUGUAAUAAAUUAACCUCAUUGGUUUGUACCAGAUGUGAUGCCCAGGGUGGUCUCAGGACCAUUCCGGGGGUCCUGCAUGCUGAUGCCUUCUCUCCAGCACUUCUCCUAAUGUAGCACACGUGUGAAAAAAUCCUCUACUUGAA